RNAcentral lists this long non-coding RNA (502 nucleotides) under Setaria viridis. RNAcentral describes it as "long non-coding RNA (SVIR_LNC006032)". The record is from RNAcentral. Lineage: Eukaryota; Viridiplantae; Streptophyta; Magnoliopsida; Poales; Poaceae.
UUAUAUAAUGGGGGUAGAUAGGAUUAGGAACUCUAAGGAGUUCACUGGGUAGUUCUAGAAAUAUAUUGAGAAACAAUUCAUUGCAGUCUCGUUCUCGUGCAAGCGAUACAUUUGCUUAGCAUCCCCAAACAGCCAAACCACCACACAAAUGGAUGAAGUACUCCUACAUCAACAUGAUGUCGGUCUAGGUUUUUAUGAUGCCAUGUCUACUUGAAAAUCAAUAUAUUUUAUUUUGGAUUCUAGCGUACUUGCAAGAUGCAUAGCAUAGAGUCUCAAUUUGAAAAGAGAUGCCCAUAUUGUUUGUUUUGCCCAAAGUCAAAAACGCAAAAUCUUGUUGAAGUGUCAUGAAAGUUUUUUUUCUUAAAAACAUUUAUGUAAAAAUUAUUUAGAUUUGUCUAUGUUUCACAAACUUGUUAAUUUUAUCAAAAUUUUAUAAGUUCGUACUUCUAAGUUAAGCCGUUUCAAUGUUUCAACACUUUAUUUGCUUAAUGUUAACAUGAUC